UUUAAGUGAAGGCUUGUGCAUUGAGU
This 26-nucleotide non-coding RNA is filed under the name Rattus norvegicus (Norway rat). The record is from RNAcentral. Lineage: Eukaryota; Metazoa; Chordata; Mammalia; Rodentia; Muridae.